UACACCACUCUGCAUGUGGAGCCUGCUGC
RNAcentral lists this non-coding RNA (29 nucleotides) under Mus musculus (house mouse). The record is from RNAcentral. Lineage: Eukaryota; Metazoa; Chordata; Mammalia; Rodentia; Muridae.